CUUAAACUUCCGUGCUUGGUGGAAAAGAAGCGAUUAAAGGUACGCUCGCUUGCUGUCUUGUUCUCUGCCGCGGACUGGGAUCGCUCGCCAGCUAGGCCCUCUAGAAAAAAGUUGGAGAAACAUUGUAUGAGAACAUAUUACCCAUCUUCGGGGACAAGGGGCAGAACGACCUCUCGAUCUACUUACAUUUCAUUCUUUCUGGAAUGCAAAGGAUUAAAGUACCCGAGCCCCCAUCAUGGUGAACCUCUCCUUGUGAUCGGGAUGAGGUAG
This 270-nucleotide ribosomal RNA is filed under the name Triticum aestivum (bread wheat). RNAcentral describes it as "partial small subunit ribosomal RNA". Lineage: Eukaryota; Viridiplantae; Streptophyta; Magnoliopsida; Poales; Poaceae. The record is from RNAcentral.